Molecule: non-coding RNA, 73 nt
Organism: Cordylochernes scorpioides
Lineage: Eukaryota; Metazoa; Arthropoda; Arachnida; Pseudoscorpiones; Chernetidae
Source: the annotation of a GenBank genome assembly
GUCCAGGGAUGGGAAUCGAACCCACAGUGUUCAGCUUACCGGGCAGAUGCCAUGUCCACUAGGCUACCCUGGA